RNAcentral lists this ribosomal RNA (433 nucleotides) under uncultured Hydrogenophaga sp. RNAcentral describes it as "bacterial SSU rRNA". It matches the Rfam family "Bacterial small subunit ribosomal RNA", at positions 945 to 1382 of the family's 1533-position model. Lineage: Bacteria; Pseudomonadati; Pseudomonadota; Betaproteobacteria; Burkholderiales; Comamonadaceae. The record is from RNAcentral.
UUUAAUUCGAUGCAACGCGAAAACCUUACCCACCUUUGACAUGUACGGAAUCCUUUAGAGAUAGAGGAGUGCUCGAAAGAGAGCCGUAACACAGGGUGCUGCAUGGCUGUCGUCAGCUCGUGUCGUGAGAUGUUGGGUUAAGUCCCGCAACGAGCGCAACCCUUGUCAUUAGUUGCUACGAAAGGGCACUCUAAUAAGACUGCCGGUGACAAACCGGAGGAAGGUGGGGAUGACGUCAAGUCCUCAUGGCCCUUAUAGGUGGGGCUACACACGUCAUACAAUGGCUGGUACAAAGGGUUGCCAACCCGCGAGGGGGAGCCAAUCCCAUAAAGCCAGUCGUAGUCCGGAUCGCAGUCUGCAACUCGACUGCGUGAAGUCGGAAUCGCUAGUAAUCGUGGAUCAGCAUGUCACGGUGAAUACGUUCCCGGGUCUU